Molecule: non-coding RNA, 135 nt
Organism: Triticum aestivum (bread wheat)
Lineage: Eukaryota; Viridiplantae; Streptophyta; Magnoliopsida; Poales; Poaceae
Source: Rfam
UAACUACUCCCUCCGCCUGGAAAUACUUGUCAUCAAAAUGGACAAAAAGGGAUGUAUCUAAAACUAAAAUACAUCUACAUACAUCCCCUUUUAUUUAUUUUAAUGACAAGUAUUUCCGGACGGAGGGAGUACUAG